RNAcentral lists this long non-coding RNA (1114 nucleotides) under Amborella trichopoda. RNAcentral's name for it is "long non-coding RNA (ATRI_LNC001256)". Lineage: Eukaryota; Viridiplantae; Streptophyta; Magnoliopsida; Amborellales; Amborellaceae. The record is from RNAcentral.
GCGACCUUAUAGAAACUGCACCCUUUAAAAAAUAGAAAUUUCUUAUGAGCAUGUAUAAUGUGGUCCUUGAGGAGCAUUGUUUGCUUCUACUCCCUUAGUCAAAAGACCUUGGGAGAUUUUUUUCGAUUUGAAAUUUUGGCAACGGCUUAAAAAUUAUAAGAUGAUUAUUCAAAAUAAUAAUAAUAAAAAAUUGAGUUUUCUAAUACUUAAGUCACAUCUUCUAAAAAAUGAAUGGUUUAUAUCCAAUCUUGAGACAUUAUUAUUAUUAUUAUUAAGUGCUUAGAAGGCGUAAUUAGGAAAUUUUUUUUGUUGAGAUCAAUGUAUGUGUUGAAGAGAUUGUGUCCCCAAAAUUCAAGGUCCAAAAACAAGUCCUAGUGAAGUUCUACCCGAGGGAGUAAAUAGAUAGUAUAUUCUCGAAUGAGUUGAAUAUUUUUUGACAUUAAUUGUAGAUUUUAGUUGGAAAACUCUACAAAGAGACUAUUUUCUUUUAAUACAAUGAGGUCAUAAUGCUAUUAUCCGUCAGAUUUCAAAUUGGGUAGUUGUGAGUGUAUUGUUAACUAAACUCAAAGCUCAAUAAAAUUUUCUAACUUUAUGCCGCAUCCAAAACUAUCCAAUUUGAUAUCUAAUGGAUUGUAGCAAUUGUGACUCUUUGUAAUAAAGAUAAAUGGUUUCCCAAUAUGCUAUCUCUUUUAGUUGAACUCCCUUUUGGACUGUCCAUCUUGAAGAACAUCUAUACUUUGGUUAUCUUUGGCGGGCAGCAAACAGUUCAAAUGCACUCCCCUUUCAAAAAGUCAUCUUAGAGAUGGAUUUUGGAUUUGAAAUUUUACGGAUUGACAGUUUCGUUCAUAAAUUUUUUAAAAAAGGAUUUUCAAACCUCAUUUUUAUACAUUUCCAAACUUAAAUGCAUGAAAUUUCAUCCUAUGAAUUUGAUAAUCUAAAGUAAAUGAUCUUCUAGUAUACAAUUCCAAACUUUAAUGUAUGAAAUUUCAUCCGAUAAAUUUGAUAAUCUAGAAGUCGGAUUUGUUUUGUCUUUCUACCUAUUACAAAAAAAUUGAAAACUCAUUCAACAGGGCAUCCAUUUGUGGCAACCACAAACUGAAGCAUUGGUUUUGGC